GGAAUAUUGGUCAAUGGACGGUAGUCUGAACCAGCCAAGUCGCGUGAGGGAUGACGGCCCUACGGGUUGUAAACCUCUUUUGCCGGGGAGUAACCCGCCCCACGCGUGGGGCGCUGAGAGUACCCGGCGAAUAAGCAUCGGCUAACUCCGUGCCAGCAGCCGCGGUAAUACGGAGGAUGCGAGCGUUAUCCGGAUUUAUUGGGUUUAAAGGGUGCGCAGGCGGCGCGUCAAGUCAGCGGUCAAACUGCGGGGCUCAACCCCGUACCGCCGUUGAAACUGGCGUGCUUGAGUCUGUGGGACGGCGGCGGAAUGCGCGGUGUAGCGGUGAAAUGCAUAGAUAUCACGCAGAACUCCGAUUGCGAAGGCAGCUGCCGACCACAUCACUGACGCUCAUGCACGAAAGCGUGGGUAUCGAACA
Molecule: ribosomal RNA, 418 nt
Filed under: uncultured bacterium
Lineage: Bacteria
Description: bacterial SSU rRNA
Rfam family: Bacterial small subunit ribosomal RNA
Source: RNAcentral